CUGCAACAUUGCUAGUCAGAAAUGUGAUUUAGAAAGAGCUUUUAGACUGGAUACUCUGUGUUGUCAGGUCUUGUGCUCCACCGAUGUCCUAAAUUAGAGAACUAGAAAUGUUAAAGACUACAUUCAAACCUAUGCUCUUUAAAAUCUGUAGUGCAUGAUAGCAUUUAUUGCCUUUUUGUACUUUUGAUACUCUUGUUCCAUGGCUACAAAUCCAACAAUUUCAUCACUCUAAAAGAAAUACUUUCUUUUAUCUGUUUUUAAAUUCAUCUCCUUAAAUUUUCACUCCUAAAUUAAUGUCCUCCCUUUUGUGUUUGCAGGAUUUGGUAAACUGUUCUGCUGUCAUCUUGCCCAACUGUUCUCCAGUAGAUUUCAUUAUUUUUCUUGGUAAAGGAAGUGCUUCCUGUCCUUAGUCAUUUAGUUGUCCCAAGGCUCUUUGUUGUCCAUGGCACUGCCUAUCUGCCCCUGUCCUAGUCUCAAUGCUUCCCAAGCCCAUCUCAGAAAUCUUGCAACCUCCAGCCAGAAAUGGAUGAGGCUCCAUGGACUGCAUGCCGCAGUGGCACAGAGGAGCGCAGAUGAGAAGGGACUUGCUGCAGCAAAUGUUCAGCCAUUCCUGUUUUCAUAAGCAGAGGAAAAGAAAAUACAGGAAAGGGAGGAUGUGGAAAAGAGGACAUUCCAUUGGGGAAAAAGAAAAAAGGUUAAGGUAAAUCUUUGGCCUGGUGAAAGGCCAAAGAUGGAUCUGCAGAUAAGUGAAAGGAGUCUGUGGUUAGGUAGUGGAAAGCAAAACCAACAGACUGAGACAGAAAAAGAGGAGAUGCUGGGAGAAGUGAGAGGUUUUAAUAGAACUAGGCAAAAUGAGGAAAAAGAGAAAUUAAAAGAAAGAUACAAAGGGAGCUCAAAGAUUUUGUCUUUCCAAAAUAAAAUAUUUUUUGAAAGAAAAAUGUAACUAAUCCAAAUGAGAGUGGAGCAAUUUGUAGAUGGAGAAGUGCCAAAUAUAAUGAAAUACAGUGAGGAAGAAGGAAAAUAUAAAAAUGAAAGGAAGCGGAAAAGGGGAGGGGGGGCACCCUACAUUACUUCUAUUUUUCCAAUUCCUUUGUUUUAUCAUAUGUCCUUGGGAAAACAGUUUAUCGUGAUAAAAGAAUUUAUGUCUAACAAUGGCAUAUCCUCUGCUUUUACUCACUGGUACUAUUAUUGUACUUGGGCUAGACCAGUGACCUCCAAAAGUUUUUGAUCAUGCACCUCUAUCAGUAAGAUCUUUUGGAGCACGCACCCAUAAUAGAGGCAUAUAUAUUUGUUCAUAAAUUGUAUACACAUACAAUUCUAUUAAUGUAUUAUGUACAUUAUAAAACAUUUACCAAAAUAGGAAUUAAAACAAUGUGAGAUAAAAAUGAAACAAACACCCACUAUUUUGAAAAAUUUUAUUUAUUUUAUUUAUUUUAUUUUAUUUUAUUUUUAUUUUUAAUUUUAUUUAUUUGUUAAUGCUAGAACCCAUAUUUCUUCACUCCAGCAGAUUGUCUGGGACAUAUCCUGAGCUAUACAUUUCCCUGCCACACAUAUACUUUGGAGAGCACUGGACUAGACCCUAAUGCAAAGUCUAAAGCUUUGUGAU
This is a long non-coding RNA of Parus major (Great Tit), 1606 nucleotides long. RefSeq lists it as uncharacterized. The transcript has 3 exons. Lineage: Eukaryota; Metazoa; Chordata; Aves; Passeriformes; Paridae. The record is from RefSeq and is a predicted model, not a curated record.